Molecule: long non-coding RNA, 1571 nt
Filed under: Vigna radiata
Lineage: Eukaryota; Viridiplantae; Streptophyta; Magnoliopsida; Fabales; Fabaceae
Description: long non-coding RNA (VRAD_LNC003633)
Source: RNAcentral
GAAUGUCAUACAUCCGAGGUCUAAAUUCGAGAUUAUUACAUUUUGACUUCUUUUUUUUUCGAGACAUCAGUGCACACAUGUUUGAAUUUGUUGGCAAAUGGAGAAGUGAGAGUUGUUUAGAAGGGUUUAGAGGAGAAUGGGGUAACUGUAUGGACAAGUCAUUCCUCAUAUAAUCCUCAGAGGAAAUUUGAUAUGAGAAUGUCAAGGUGAACACGAGAUACACAUAGAGCGCCCCAGCUUGAUGUUGUGGAAAAUGAGCUGGGGUUUGGAUAAAUGAAAGUUAGGGUGAGAAAAUUUCAAAUGAGAUUUCCAAAGCUGCCCCGGUCUUGAGGUUAUGGAUUGAUGAAAAACUUGUGUGAGACUCACAAAGCUACCCAAUUUUUGUUUGCUUCUUUUUUAUUGUGGUACGGGUUGACGAAAAAACUCAGGUGAGACUCACAAAGUUGCCCCAGUUUUUCUUCAACAAGGGGUUCAGUUUGGAAGAGGUAGUGGACAUGUACAGGAUCGGCUAAAAGGGUGUCCCCCAAUUGGUUUGAUUUUUCUUUUUGCAUGCUUCUGGCUAGUUGGCAGGAAGAUCCCCUCUUCUUGAGACAUUACUUUUUUCUCUCUUUUUUAUUUCUUUUUUCCUUUUUACGACACUGUGAAAGUCACCUUAUCGCAAAGUUAAGCUUUAUGAAAAUUUGAGCAAUCAUUAUUCAAUCUGUGUGGGCUUUAUUAGGCUUGUAACGUGGCUAAGGGCUACAAGGUAAUGAAAGAAAAGGGUAAAAAGGCCCAAAUGAAUGUUUGGUGGUUAUAUUUUUUUUGAAACAAGGGUUAUCAUCUAGGCAUUGCAUCAACUAUUUGACUUUUUGAGCACUUUCGCUUUUUCUCGAACUUUGAUUUUCAUUCUCUUUGCUCAUCAUCACUUUGUGAUUUUUUAUUGUUCUUUUUGUUUUUCUUUGUUUUUUAUUCACUCUUCUUGAUGUAUUCUCUUCGUUUGAUCAUUGAGUGCUCUUCAUUUGCAACAUGAGUUGACUCCUACCUAAUGACAACCCUUGCUUGGGAUGAUUUUGAAAAAGAAAUUAUUUUUGGCUCAAAUAGGGUGACAACGGAUAUAUUUUUGCUUUUAGGUGAAAACAAGAAGGCCACACAUCAUUUUGAACUCUGAUUGCUUUAUUUUCAAAAUAUUAAUUUUGCGACUCGAUGACCUCAACAUGAGUCGUUUUUGUUGUUUUUUUUUUUUCUUUUUCCUUUCUAGACUGCCCUUUCGGGUUUUCAAUCUAGUGGACUUAUUCUUUUCUUUUCAUUUUAUUUUUCCUUUUCAAUUUUGAAAUUUGUCCUAUGGGAUUCAGGGAUCAUCCUACUAGCGCAAGCGAAAAAACCUUUGGUCAGGCCAAUCUGUCCAGUGAAAAGGUUUUCUUUGUUAUUGAGGCAACAGCGAUGUUUGUUGAGGGGAAAACCUUUAUCUGGGAAAAGUAAUGGGUGGAGAUUUUCAAGCAGCAUGUGCACAAACGUCUUGAGAGAAGCGUCAAAAUUGUUAUUUUUGAUUUAACAUUUGACCUCGGAAAAGUCUGACACUACAACUUUUGNNN